ACGUAGGUGGCAAGCGUUGUUCGGAGUUAUUGGGCGUAAAGGGCGCGUAGGCGGCUUGUUAAGUCGGUUGUGAAAGCCCGGGGCUCAACCCCGGAGAGUCGACCGAUACUGGCGAGCUAGAGUACGGAAGAGGUAGCUGGAAUUCCCGGUGUAGCGGCGAAAUGCGUAGAUAUCGGGAGGAACACCUGAGGCGAAGGCGGGCUACUGGGCCGAUACUGACGCUGAUGCGCGAAAGCCAGGGGAGCAAACGGGA
This 253-nucleotide ribosomal RNA is filed under the name uncultured prokaryote. Its description in RNAcentral is "partial 16S ribosomal RNA". It matches the Rfam family "Bacterial small subunit ribosomal RNA", at positions 525 to 777 of the family's 1533-position model. The record is from RNAcentral.